Non-coding RNA from Globicephala melas (long-finned pilot whale), 1775 nucleotides. The record is from RefSeq and is a predicted model, not a curated record. Lineage: Eukaryota; Metazoa; Chordata; Mammalia; Artiodactyla; Delphinidae.
CCCCAAGCCUCGCCUAUCGCCCGGAGGAAAGUUGCGCUGUGCUGCCCGCACUCGCCUCGCCCCCGACGCCGCCGCCGGAGCCCCCGUAGGGCCCGAGACCCCGCGCCCUCAGCGCUCCAGCCCGGCUCAGGCGUGGACAGGGCGGGCGCCGGGGCGGGGCGCGCGUCCUCGCCAGUUUGAAUGGAAGGAUCCAGAUCUGCGGAGACGGCGGCCAGCAGAUACUGAGGCCAGCGCUCCUCCCCAGCCCCCGCGCCCGAGACAUGCGGCGGGAGAGGUGCGGCGCCCCCCGCCCGCGUCCCCGCCAUGGAGGUGCUGCGGCGCUCCUCGGUCUUCGCCGCCGAGAUCAUGGACGCCUUUGACCGCUCGCCCACCGACAAGGAGCUGGUGGCCCAGGCCAAGGCGCUCGGCCGGGAGUUCGUGCACGCGCGGCUGCUGCGCGCCGGCCUCGCCUGGAGCGCGCCGGAGCGCGCCGCGCCCGCCCCCGGCGGCCGCCUGGCCGAAGUGUGCACGGUGCUGCUGCGCCUGGCGGACGAGCUGGAGCUGAUCCGGCCCAGUGUCUACCGCAACGUGGCCCGCCAGCUGAACAUCCCCCUGCAGUCCGAGACCGUGGUGACCGACGCCUUCCUGGCUGUGGCGGCCCAGAUCGUUUCUGCAGAGCAAAAUAUUUCACCACGGAAAGAUCAGAAAACACAUGAGAUAAAGAACUCUCAGAAAUCAGUACUAAAAAGACCACCUCACUUUAAAAAGAGCAAAGGGUCUGAAUGGACAUCUCUUCAAGGAAGAUGUAUGAACAGCCAGUACGUGCAUGAGAGGUUGCUCAGUAUCAUCAGUCGCCAGGGAAACACCCAUCAAACCACAACAAGAUGCCACCUCGCGCCCACUGGGGCACUCAAGGCAAAACUUCAGAGAACUCAGCACGGGUGAGGCUGUGAAGAGUCAGGGCGUGAAGUGGUCUGGCAGCUUCUCCAAUGGUAACUCUGAUGGGGUCACCCCCUGACCCGGCAGUUCCGCUCCUCGGUUUUGACCCCUGAGAAAGGAAGCCACAUGUCCACACAAGGGCUUGCACACGAGUGUUCAGAGCCGCGUAUCCCCACGGCCGGAGGGGCCAACAGCCCACGUGCUCGUUUCCUGAUGGGUGGUCCAUCCACUCGAUGGAACGUUAUUCGGCCGUAACAAGGAAUGAGGUGCUCACACCAGGACAGCACGGAGGAACCUUGAAAACAUUUUGCUCAGUGAACGGAGUCAGACACAAAGUGGGACCUACUGUGUGACUGCAUUCGUGAAACGUCCAGAACAGGAACCUUGUACAACUGGCAAGCACUGUUCCCCAGACUGUCAUUCAUCUGUCUUUCCUCCCAGGUGGGCUCCAUCUCAGUUCUGCCCCCAGUAGCUUGGUGGUCUGGGCAAGGCCAUUCCUCCCGGGGCCUCAGCUUCUUUACAUGGAGAACAUCCUCUGUCCUCGCAGGGCUGUGCUGGGGGCAGGCGCAGAUGGAAGCUGCUUCCUGUUUAUCACAUCCAGUGCCGAGUCACUGAGCCCCCUUGACCUGCUCAGCCUCCUCUUUGCCUUUCUGCUCCAUCACCUCCUCCAGCAGAUACAGGGCUGUGCAGGGUCAUCGCCAGGCCCUGGCCCAGGUGUGCAGGAAUCACCUGGGGCAAGGUUGUGUCCCUGUACUCAGUGGCUGCGGGGCUGGCCGUGGACUGCGUGCGACAGGCCCAGCCCGCCCUGGUCCACGCCCUCGUUGACUGCCUCGGGGAGUUCGUACGCAAGACCCUGG